Ornithodoros turicata is the source of this 401-nucleotide long non-coding RNA. RefSeq lists it as uncharacterized. The record is from RefSeq and is a predicted model, not a curated record. Lineage: Eukaryota; Metazoa; Arthropoda; Arachnida; Ixodida; Argasidae. The transcript has 2 exons.
CUAUGACCGCUAAUCUGGUUGUUGAGUGAGCUAGUGUCGCUGUUUGUAGUUUUGUAUGAACUAAUAGCUUCUGUUACAGUUGUCAGAGAGCUUGAACUGCAUGUGAUUUCGUCACAUCGAUAGACAGCGUCAAGCAUGUGUAAAGGACCUGGUGUAUCUCUACAACAAUAAAGAGCAGGGCAUAAACGAGAAGACGAAGACAUCGCUUGGAUAUGCCAGUGAUUAGGCUGCUUCCGCAUCACACCAUCUAUACUCCGAAAGAUGCUGCGAUAUGACCGUUGCGAAGAGGCGUAGCGACCGUCCAUGUGAUGAUGAUUAUUAUGACCAUUAUCACUGAUUAUCUUUUUUGUACAUGUUUCAUUACUUGAUUUAAGAUUUUAAUAAACAAGCACGUAAAUGGU